RNAcentral lists this ribosomal RNA (253 nucleotides) under uncultured bacterium. RNAcentral describes it as "partial 16S ribosomal RNA". It matches the Rfam family "Bacterial small subunit ribosomal RNA", at positions 524 to 776 of the family's 1533-position model. The record is from RNAcentral.
UACGUAGGGGGCUAGCGUUGUCCGGAAUCAUUGGGCGUAAAGCGCGCGUAGGCGGCCCGGUAAGUCCGUUGUAAAAGUCAAAGGCUCAACCUUUGAAAGCCGAUGGAUACUGUCGGGCUAGAGUCCGGAAGAGGCGAGUAGAAUUCCUGGUGUAGCGGUGGAAUGCGCAGAUAUCAGGAGGAACACCGGUGGCGAAGGCGGGUCUCUGGGCCGGUACUGACGCUGAGGAGCGAAAGCGUGGGGAGCGAACAGG